This 197-nucleotide unclassified non-coding RNA is filed under the name plant metagenome. RNAcentral describes it as "partial contains small subunit ribosomal RNA, internal transcribed spacer 1, and 5.8S ribosomal RNA". The record is from RNAcentral.
UCUCCGUUGGUGAACCAGCGGAGGGAUCAUUACCGAGUGCAAACUCAUAACCCUUUGUGAACCUAUAUCUGUUGCUUCGGCGGCUCGCUCUCGAGCGAGCCCGCCGGUAAUAUCAGUAUCUCUGUUUGAACCCGACGAUACUUCUGAGUGUUCUUAGCGAACAGUUAAAACUUUUAACAACGGAUCUCUUGGCUCUA